Molecule: ribosomal RNA, 465 nt
Filed under: uncultured bacterium
Lineage: Bacteria
Description: partial 16S ribosomal RNA
Rfam family: Bacterial small subunit ribosomal RNA
Source: RNAcentral
GACGAACGCUGGCGGCGUGCUUAACACAUGCAAGUCGAACGGAAAGGCCCUGCUUGCCGGGUACUCGAGUGGCGAACGGGUGAGUAACACGUGGGUGAUCUGCCCUGCACUUCGGGAUAAGCCUGGGAAACUGGGUCUAAUACCGGAUAGGAGCCAUUUUUAGUGUGAUGGUUGGAAAGUUUUUUCGGUGUAGGAUGAGCUCACGGCCUAUCAGCUUGUUGGUGGGGUAAUGGCCUACCAAGGCGGCGACGGGUAGCCGGCCUGAGAGGGUGGACGGCCACAUUGGGACUGAGAUACGGCCCAGACUCCUACGGGAGGCAGCAGUGGGGAAUAUUGCACAAUGGGCGCAAGCCUGAUGCAGCGACGCCGCGUGGGGGAUGACGGCCUUCGGGUUGUAAACUCCUUUCGCUAGGGACGAAGCUUUUUGUGACGGUACCUAGAUAAGAAGCACCGGCUAACUACGUG